RNAcentral lists this unclassified non-coding RNA (1544 nucleotides) under Hevea brasiliensis (rubber tree). Lineage: Eukaryota; Viridiplantae; Streptophyta; Magnoliopsida; Malpighiales; Euphorbiaceae. The record is from RNAcentral.
GGCUAUUCUAGAACCUGCAAAAAUUAAGGUGAAGCUGAAAGCUGAGAAUGUUGAUAUAUGUUACCCCCCAAUCUUCCAGAGUGGUGGGAAUUUCGAUCUUAGACCUAGUGCUACAAGCAAUGAUGAACAAUUGUACUAUGAUUCUGCCAGUGUCAUCAUAUGUGCAGUUGGAUCACGAUACAACAGUUACUGUUCAAAUGUUGCCAGAACAUUUCUCAUUGAUUCAACUUCGACGCAGAACAAGGCUUAUGAGGUUCUUCUUAAAGCUCACGAGGCAGCUAUUGGUGCAUUGAAGCCUGGAAACAAGCUUAGCUCCGUGUAUCAAACAGCUCUAGAAGUGGUUGAGAGGGAUGCUCCUGAAUUUGUUAGCAACCUGACAAAGUCUGCUGGGACUGGGAUUGGUCUUGAGUUCCGGGAGUCUGGCUUGAUCAUCAAUGCUAAGAAUGAUAAGGUGGUGAGAGCAGGAAUGGUUUUCAACGUGUCACUUGGUUUCCACAAUUUGCAAGCUGGGACCACCACUGAGAAGAGUAAGAAUUUUUCACUUUUGUUGGCAGAUACGGUUAUCGUCACAAAUGAUGGCCAUGAUGUGGUUACUCAUUUGAGCUCUAAAGCCUUGAAGGAUGUAGCCUAUUCUUUCAAUGAAGAUGAGGAAGAUGAGGAAGACGUUAAAGUGAAAGCUGAUUCAAGCAGGAUGGAAGCCUUGUAUUCCAAGGCAACACUUAGGUCAAACAACCAAGAAGAGCUCCGAAGGCAGCAUCAAGCAGAACUUGCCCGUCAGAAGAAUGAAGAAACUGCUCGUCGUCUUGCUGGUGGAGGAGCUUUAACGGGGAAUAACAAGGGUGCUGCUAAGGCCUCAAGUGACCUUGUUGCGUAUAAGAGCAUCAAUGAUCUACCACCUCCUAGGGAUAUGACUAUUCAGGUUGACCAAAAGAAUGAAGCCAUUCUUCUACCAAUAUAUGGUACUAUGGUUCCUUUCCAUGUGGCUACUGUUAAGACUGUUUCAAGCCAGCAGGAUACCAACCGUAACUGUUAUAUCCGUGUCAUUUUCAAUGUUCCUGGUACCCCUUUUACACCUGUUGAUGCAAAUGCUCUUAAGAAUCAGAGUGCUAUUUACCUGAAGGAAGUUUCAUUUCGUUCCAAGGAUCCAAGGCACAUAAGUGAAGUGGUUCAGCAGAUUAAAACUCUUAGACGUAAUGUCAUGGCCAGGGAGUCUGAGAGAGCCGAAAGGGCAACUUUGGUGACUCAGGAAAAGCUUGUACUUGCAGGGAAUAAAUUCAAACCAGUUAGGCUGUCUGACUUAUCGAUUCGUCCCUCUUUUGGUGGUCGUGCAAGAAAGCUUCCGGGUACAUUGGAAGCUCAUGUUAAUGGUUUCCGGUACUCGACCUCAAGACCAGAUGAGCGUGUUGACAUCAUGUUUGGCAACAUCAAGCAUGCGUUCUUCCAGCCAGCAGAGAAGGAGAUGAUUACCCUUCUUCACUUUCAUCUGCAUAACCACAUAAUGGUAGGAAACAAGAAAACCAAGGAUGUGCAAUUCUAUGUUGAGG